GGGUUGUGAGGUUAAGCGACUAAGCGUACACGGUGGAUGCCUAGGCAGUCAGAGGCGAUGAAGGGCGUGCUAAUCUGCGAUAAGCGUCGGUAAGCUGAUAUGAAGCGUUAUACCCGACGAUACCCGAAUGGGGAAACCCAGUGUGUUUCGACACACUAUCAUGACAUGAAUACAUAGUGUCAUGAGGCGAACCGGGGGAACUGAAACAUCUCAGUACCCCGAGGAAAAGAAAUCAACCGAGAUUCCCCCAGUAGCGGCGAGCGAACGGGGAGGAGCCCAGAACCUGAAUCAGUUUGUGUGUUAGUGGAAGCGUCUGGAAAGUCGCACAGUAAAGGGUGAUAGUCCCGUACACAAAAAUGCACAAGUUGUGAGUUCGAUGAGUAGGGCGGGACACGUGACAUCCUGUCUGAAUAUGGGGGGACCAUCCUCCAAGGCUAAAUACUCCUGACUGACCGAUAGUGAACCAGUACCGUGAGGGAAAGGCGAAAAGAACCCCGGCGAGGGGAGUGAAAUAGAACCUGAAACCGUGUACGUACAAGCAGUGGGAGCCUACUUGUUAGGUGACUGCGUACCUUUUGUAUAAUGGGUCAGCGACUUAUAUUCUGUAGCAAGGUUAACCGUAUAGGGGAGCCGCAGGGAAACCGAGUCUUAACUGGGCGUUAAGUUGCAGGGUAUAGACCCGAAACCCGGUGAUCUAGCCAUGGGCAGGUUGAAGGUUGGGUAACACUAACUGGAGGACCGAACCGACUAAUGUUGAAAAAUUAGCGGAUGACUUGUGGCUGGGGGUGAAAGGCCAAUCAAACCGGGAGAUAGCUGGUUCUCCCCGAAAGCUAUUUAGGUAGCGCCUCGUGAAUUCAUCUUCGGGGGUAGAGCACUGUUUCGGCUAGGGGGUCAUCCCGACUUACCAACCCGAUGCAAACUACGAAUACCGAAGAAUGUUAUCACGGGAGACACACGGCGGGUGCUAACGUUCGUCGUGAAGAGGGAAACAACCCAGACCGCCAGCUAAGGUCCCAAAGUCAUGGUUAAGUGGGAAACGAUGUGGGAAGGCAUAGACAGCCAGGAUGUUGGCUUAGAAGCAGCCAUCAUUUAAAGAAAGCGUAAUAGCUCACUGGUCGAGUCGGCCUGCGCGGAAGAUGUAACGGGGCUAAACCAUGCACCGAAGCUGCGGCAGCGACACUUAGGUGUUGUUGGGUAGGGGAGCGUUCUGUAAGCCUGCGAAGGUGGCCUGUGAGGGCUGCUGGAGGUAUCAGAAGUGCGAAUGCUGACAUAAGUAACGAUAAUGCGGGUGAAAAACCCGCACGCCGGAAGACCAAGGGUUCCUGUCCAACGUUAAUCGGGGCAGGGUGAGUCGACCCCUAAGGCGAGGCUGAAAAGCGUAGUCGAUGGGAAACAGGUUAAUAUUCCUGUACUCGGUGUUACUGCGAAGGGGGGACGGAGAAAGCUAGGUUAUCCGGGCGACGGUUGUCCCGGUUUAAGCGUGAAGGUGGAUGACUUUGGUAAAUCCGGGUCAUCAUUAACACUGAGGCGUGAUGACGAGUCACUACGGUGAUGAAGUAACCGAUGCUACGCUUCCAGGAAAAGCCUCUAAGCUCCAGGUAACAUCAAAUCGUACCCCAAACCGACACAGGUGGUCAGGUAGAGAAUACUCAGGCGCUUGAGAGAACUCGGGUGAAGGAACUAGGCAAAAUGGUGCCGUAACUUCGGGAGAAGGCACGCUGAUGGUAGGUGAAGUGACUUGCUCAUGGAGCUGAAAUCAGUCGAAGAUACCAGCUGGCUGCAACUGUUUAAUAAAAACACAGCACUGUGCAAACACGAAAGUGGACGUAUACGGUGUGACGCCUGCCCGGUGCCGGAAGGUUAAUUGAUGGGGUCAGCCGCAAGGCGAAGCUCUUGAUCGAAGCCCCGGUAAACGGCGGCCGUAACUAUAACGGUCCUAAGGUAGCGAAAUUCCUUGUCGGGUAAGUUCCGACCUGCACGAAUGGCGUAAUGAUGGCCAGGCUGUCUCCACCCGAGACUCAGUGAAAUUGAACUCGCUGUGAAGAUGCAGUGUACCCGCGGCAAGACGGAAAGACCCCGUGAACCUUUACUAUAGCUUGACACUGAACCUUGAGCCUUGAUGUGUAGGAUAGGUGGGAGGCUUUGAAGUGUGGACGCCAGUCUGCAUGGAGCCAACCUUGAAAUACCACCCUUUAAUGUUUGAUGUUCUAACGUGGACCCGUGAUCCGGGUUGCGGACAGUGUCUGGUGGGUAGUUUGACUGGGGCGGUCUCCUCCCAAAGCGUAACGGAGGAGCACGAAGGUUAGCUAAUCCUGGUCGGACAUCAGGAGGUUAGUGCAAAGGCAUAAGCUAGCUUGACUGCGAGAGUGACAGCUCGAGCAGGUGCGAAAGCAGGUCUUAGUGAUCCGGUGGUUCUGAAUGGAAGGGCCAUCGCUCAACGGAUAAAAGGUACUCCGGGGAUAACAGGCUGAUACCGCCCAAGAGUUCAUAUCGACGGCGGUGUUUGGCACCUCGAUGUCGGCUCAUCACAUCCUGGGGCUGAAGUAGGUCCCAAGGGUAUGGCUGUUCGCCAUUUAAAGUGGUACGCGAGCUGGGUUUAGAACGUCGUGAGACAGUUCGGUCCCUAUCUGCCGUGGGCGUUGGAAGAUUGAGAGGGGUUGCUCCUAGUACGAGAGGACCGGAGUGAACGCACCACUGGUGUACGGGUUGUGAUGCCAAUUGCAUUGCCCGGUAGCUAAGUGCGGAAGAGAUAACCGCUGAAAGCAUCUAAGCGGGAAACUUGCCUCGAGAUGAGUCUUCCCUGGGUACUUGAUACCCCUGAAGGGCCGUUGAAGACGACGACGUAGAUAGGCUGGGUGUGUAAGCGUAGCGAUACGUUGAGCUAACCAGUACUAAUGACCCGAGAGGCUUAACCUUACAACACCGAAGGUGUUU
This 2934-nucleotide ribosomal RNA is filed under the name Pectobacterium brasiliense. RNAcentral's name for it is "23S ribosomal RNA". It matches the Rfam family "Bacterial large subunit ribosomal RNA". Lineage: Bacteria; Pseudomonadati; Pseudomonadota; Gammaproteobacteria; Enterobacterales; Pectobacteriaceae. The record is from RNAcentral.